GGCGGCAGGCGUAACACAUGCAAGUCGAGCGCGAAAGCACUUCGGUGUGAGUAGAGCGGCGGACGGGUGAGUAACGCGUAAGAAUCUACCUAGUAGUGGGGGACAACUCGAGGAAACUCGAGCUAAUACCGCAUACGCCCUACGGGGGAAAGCGGGGGACCUUCGGGCCUCGCGCUAUUAGAUGAGCUUGCGUUGGAUUAGCUUGUUGGUGAGGUAAUGGCUCACCAAGGCUACGAUCCAUAGCUGGUCUGAGAGGAUGAUCAGCCACACCGGGACUGAGACACGGCCCGGACUCCUACGGGAGGCAGCAGUGGGGAAUAUUGCGCAAUGGGCGAAAGCCUGACGCAGCCAUGCCGCGUGUGUGAAGAAGGCCUUAGGGUUGUAAAGCACUUUCAAUUGGGAGGAAAAGUUAACGACUAAUACUCGUUAGCCUUGACGUUACCUUUAGAAGAAGCACCGGCUAACUCCGUGCCAGCAGCCGCGGUAAUACGGAGGGUGCAAGCGUUAAUCGGAAUUACUGGGCGUAAAGCGCGCGUAGGCGGCUUUUUAAGUCGGAUGUGAAAGCCCCGGGCUCAACCUGGGAACUGCAUCCGAUACUGGAAGACUAGAGUGCGAGAGAGGGAGGUAGAAUUCCAUGUGUAGCGGUGAAAUGCGUAGAUAUAUGGAGGAAUACCAGUGGCGAAGGCGGCCUCCUGGCUCGACACUGA
Molecule: ribosomal RNA, 707 nt
Filed under: gamma proteobacterium IMCC15196
Lineage: Bacteria; Pseudomonadati; Pseudomonadota; Gammaproteobacteria
Description: bacterial SSU rRNA
Rfam family: Bacterial small subunit ribosomal RNA
Source: RNAcentral